This 100-nucleotide small nuclear RNA is filed under the name Neogale vison (American mink). The record is from RNAcentral. Lineage: Eukaryota; Metazoa; Chordata; Mammalia; Carnivora; Mustelidae.
UUAGUCCCAUUGGAUCAAAAAAUAUUCUUCCUGUGAGAGAAGAUGAGCAUGGGUCCUGAACAAGGAUGACAUGAAAAUUCGUGAAGCGUUCUGUAUUUUU